This 450-nucleotide ribosomal RNA is filed under the name uncultured Glomus. RNAcentral's name for it is "SSU rRNA". It matches the Rfam family "Eukaryotic small subunit ribosomal RNA", at positions 569 to 1025 of the family's 1831-position model. The record is from RNAcentral. Lineage: Eukaryota; Fungi; Glomeromycota; Glomeromycetes; Glomerales; Glomeraceae.
AGCAGCCGCGGUAAUUCCAGCUCCAAUAGCGUAUAUUAAAGUUGUUGCAGUUAAAAAGCUCGUAGUUGAAUUUCGGGGUUAGUAGGUUGGUCAUGCCUCCGGUAUGUACUGGUCUCACUGAUUCCUCCUUCCUGAUGAACCGUAAUGCCAUUAAUUUGGUGUUGCGGGGAAUUUGGACUGUUACUUUGAAAAAUUAGAGUGUUUAAAGCAAGCUAACGCUUGAAUACAUUAGCAUGGAAUAAUGAAAUAGGACGUUCGAUCCUAUUUUGUUGGUUUCUAGGAUUGACGUAAUGAUUAAUAGGGAUAGUUGGGGGCAUUAGUAUUCAAUUGUCAGAGGUGAAAUUCUUGGAUUUAUUGAAGACUAACUACUGCGAAAGCAUUUGCCAGGAUGUUUUCAUUAAUCAAGAACGAAAGUUAGGGGAUCGAAGACGAUCAGAUACCGUCGUAGUC